RNAcentral lists this ribosomal RNA (484 nucleotides) under uncultured bacterium. RNAcentral describes it as "partial 16S ribosomal RNA". It matches the Rfam family "Bacterial small subunit ribosomal RNA", at positions 30 to 507 of the family's 1533-position model. The record is from RNAcentral.
AUUGAACGCUGGCGGCAGGCCUAACACAUGCAAGUCGAGCGGAUGAAGGGAGCUUGCUCCUGGAUUCAGCGGCGGACGGGUGAGUAAUGCCUAGGAAUCUGCCUGGUAGUGGGGGAUAACGUCCGGAAACGGGCGCUAAUACCGCAUACGUCCUGAGGGAGAAAGUGGGGGAUCUUCGGACCUCACGCUAUCAGAUGAGCCUAGGUCGGAUUAGCUAGUUGGUGAGGUAAAGGCCUACCAAGGCGACGAUCCGUAACUGGCCUGAGAGGAUGAUCAGUCACACUGGAACUGAGACACGGUCCAGACUCCUACGGGAGGCAGCAGUGGGGAAUAUUGGACAAUGGGCGAAAGCCUGAUCCAGCCAUGCCGCGUGUGUGAAGAAGGUCUUCGGAUUGUAAAGCACUUUAAGUUGGGAGGAAGGGCAGUAAGUUAAUACCUUGCUGUUUUGACGUUACCAACAGAAUAAGCACCGGCUAACUUCGUG